RNAcentral lists this ribosomal RNA (707 nucleotides) under uncultured bacterium. Its description in RNAcentral is "bacterial SSU rRNA". It matches the Rfam family "Bacterial small subunit ribosomal RNA", at positions 64 to 751 of the family's 1533-position model. The record is from RNAcentral.
AGACUUUUUAUUUGAUGCUUGCAUCUUUAAAAAGUUGAGUGGCGAACGGGUGAGUAACACGUGGGUAACCUGCCUUAAAGUGGGGGAUAACACUUGGAAACAGGUGCUAAUACCGCAUAACCAUCAAAACCGCCUGGUUUUGAUGUUAAAGAUGGUUCUGCUAUCGCUUUGAGAUGGACCCGCGGCGUAUUAGCUAGUUGGUGAGGUAAUGGCUCACCAAGGCAAUGAUACGUAGCCGAACUGAGAGGUUGAUCGGCCACAUUGGGACUGAGACACGGCCCAAACUCCUACGGGAGGCAGCAGUAGGGAAUCUUCCACAAUGGACGAAAGUCUGAUGGAGCAACGCCGCGUGAGUGAAGAAGGUUUUCGGAUCGUAAAACUCUGUUGUCAGAGAAGAACGUGUGUGAGAGUAACUGUUCACGCAGUGACGGUAUCUGACCAGAAAGUCACGGCUAACUACGUGCCAGCAGCCGCGGUAAUACGUAGGUGGCAAGCGUUGUCCGGAUUUAUUGGGCGUAAAGGGAACGCAGGCGGUCUUUUAAGUCUGAUGUGAAAGCCUUCGGCUUAACCGAAGUCGGGCAUUGGAAACUGGGAGACUUGAGUGCAGAAGAGGAGAGUGGAACUCCAUGUGUAGCGGUGAAAUGCGUAGAUAUAUGGAAGAACACCAGUGGCGAAAGCGGCUCUCUGGUCUGUAACUGACGCUGAGG